This 484-nucleotide ribosomal RNA is filed under the name uncultured bacterium. Its description in RNAcentral is "partial 16S ribosomal RNA". It matches the Rfam family "Bacterial small subunit ribosomal RNA", at positions 30 to 507 of the family's 1533-position model. The record is from RNAcentral.
AUUGAACGCUGGCGGCAGGCCUAACACAUGCUAGUCGAGCGGAUGAAGGGAGCUUGCUCCUGGAUUCAGCGGCGGACGGGUGAGUAAUGCCUAGGAAUCUGCCUGGUAGUGGGGGAUAACGUCCGGAAACGGGCGCUAAUACCGCAUACGUCCUGAGGGAGAAAGUGGGGGAUCUUCGGACCUCACGCUAUCAGAUGAGCCUAGGUCGGAUUAGCUAGUUGGUGGGGUAAAGGCCUACCAAGGCGACGAUCCGUAACUGGUCUGAGAGGAUGAUCAGUCACACUGGAACUGAGACACGGUCCAGACUCCUACGGGAGGCAGCAGUGGGGAAUAUUGGACAAUGGGCGAAAGCCUGAUCCAGCCAUGCCGCGUGUGUGAAGAAGGUCUUCGGAUUGUAAAGCACUUUAAGUUGGGAGGAAGGGCAGUAAGUUAAUACCUUGCUGUUUUGACGUUACCAACAGAAUAAGCACCGGCUAACUUCGUG